GAUGAAGACGUAGCGAAAUGCGAUAAGUAGUGUGAAUUGCAGAAUUCAGUGAAUCAUCGAAUCUUUGAACGCACAUUGCGCCCCUUGGUAUUCCAUGGGGCAUGCCUGUUCGAGCGUCAUUUGUACCUUCAAGCUUUGCUUGGUGUUGGGUGUUUGUCUCGCCUUUGCGUGUAGACUCGCCUUAAAAUAAUUGGCAGCCGGCGUAUUGAUUUCGGAGCGCAGUACAUCUCGCGCUUUGCACUCAUAACGACAGCGUCCAAAAGUACAUUUUACACUCUUGACCUCGGAUCAGGUAGGGAUACCCGCUGAACUUAAGCAUAUCAAUAGCGGAGGA
This 334-nucleotide unclassified non-coding RNA is filed under the name soil metagenome. RNAcentral describes it as "partial contains 5.8S ribosomal RNA, internal transcribed spacer 2, and large subunit ribosomal RNA". The stretch from base 1 to 119 matches the Rfam family "5.8S ribosomal RNA", at positions 35 to 154 of the family's 154-position model. The record is from RNAcentral.